RNAcentral lists this ribosomal RNA (373 nucleotides) under uncultured organism. RNAcentral's name for it is "partial 16S ribosomal RNA". It matches the Rfam family "Bacterial small subunit ribosomal RNA", at positions 527 to 896 of the family's 1533-position model. The record is from RNAcentral.
GUAGGUGGCAAGCGUUGUCCGGAAUUAUUGGGCGUAAAGCGCGCGCAGGCGGUCCUUUAAGUCUGAUGUGAAAGCCCACGGCUCAACCGUGGAGGGCCAUUGGAAACUGGGGGACUUGAGUACAGAAGAGGAAAGCGGAAUUCCAAGUGUAGCGGUGAAAUGCGUAGAGAUUUGGAGGAACACCAGUGGCGAAGGCGGCUUUCUGGUCUGUAACUGACGCUGAGGCGCGAAAGCGUGGGGAGCAAACAGGAUUAGAUACCCUGGUAGUCCACGCCGUAAACGAUGAGUGCUAAGUGUUAGGGGGUUUCCCGCCCCCUUAGUGCUGCAGCUAACGCAUUAAGCACUCCGCCUGGGGAGUACGGCCGCAAGGCUG